This 496-nucleotide ribosomal RNA is filed under the name uncultured bacterium. Its description in RNAcentral is "partial 16S ribosomal RNA". It matches the Rfam family "Bacterial small subunit ribosomal RNA", at positions 30 to 523 of the family's 1533-position model. The record is from RNAcentral.
AUUGAACGCUGGCGGAAUGCUUUACACAUGCAAGUCGAACGGUAGAGGGGGCAACCCCUCGAGAGUGGCGAACGGGUGAGUAAUAUAUCGGAACGUGCCCAGUCGUGGGGGAUAACGUAGCGAAAGUUACGCUAAUACCGCAUACGAUCUAAGGAUGAAAGCGGGGGACCGCAAGACCUCGCGCGAUUGGAGCGGCCGAUAUCAGAUUAGGUAGUUGGUGGGGUAAAGGCUCACCAAGCCAACGAUCUGUAGCUGGUCUGAGAGGACGACCAACCACACUGGAACGGAGACACGGUCCAGACUCCUACGGGAGGCAGCAGUGGGGAAUUUUGGACAAUGGACGCAAGUCUGAUCCAGCCAUUCCGCGUGCAGGAUGGAGGCCCUCGGGUUGUAAACUGCUUUUGUACGGAACGAAAAGGUCUCUCUUAAUACGGGGGACUCAUGACGGUACCGUAAGAAUAAGCACCGGCUAACUACGUGCCAGCAGCCGCCGUAA